This 465-nucleotide ribosomal RNA is filed under the name uncultured bacterium. RNAcentral's name for it is "partial 16S ribosomal RNA". It matches the Rfam family "Bacterial small subunit ribosomal RNA", at positions 28 to 507 of the family's 1533-position model. The record is from RNAcentral.
GACGAACGCUGGCGGCGUGCUUAACACAUGCAAGUCGAACGGAAAGGCCCCCUUGUGGGGUACUCGAGUGGCGAACGGGUGAGUAACACGUGAGUAACCUAACCUUGACUUUGGGAUAACUUCAGGAAACUGGGGCUAAUACCGGAUAGGAGCUCCUGCUGCAUGGUGGGGGUUGGAAAGUUUCGGCGGUUGGGGAUGGACUGGCGGCUUAUCAGCUUGUUGGUGGGGUAGUUGCUCACCAAGGCUUUGACGGGUAGCCGGCCUGAGAGGGUGACCGGCCACAUUGGGCCUGAGAUACGGCCCAGACUCCUACGGGAGGCAGCAGUGGGGAAUAUUGCACAAUGGGCGGAAGCCUGAUGCAGCAACGCCGCGUGCGGGAUGACGGCCUUCGGGUUGUAAACCGCUUUCGCCUGUGACGAAGCGUGAGUGACGGUAAUGGGUAAAGAAGCACCGGCUAACUACGUG